CUACGGGAGGCUGCAGUGGGGAAUAUUGCACAAUGGGCGCAAGCCUGAUGCAGCCAUGCCGCGUGUGUGAAGAAGGCCUUCGGGUUGUAAAGCACUUUCAGCGGGGAGGAAGGCGUUAAGGUUAAUAACCUUGUCGAUUGACGUUACCCGCAGAAGAAGCACCGGCUAACUCCGUGCCAGCAGCCGCGGUAAUACGGAGGGUGCAAGCGUUAAUCGGAAUUACUGGGCGUAAAGCGCACGCAGGCGGUCUGUCAAGUCGGAUGUGAAAUCCCCGGGCUCAACCUGGGAACUGCAUUCGAAACUGGCAGGCUAGAGUCGUGUAGAGGGGGGUAGAAUUCCAGGUGUAGCCGUGAAAUGCGUAGAGAUCUGGAGGCAUACCGGCGGCGAAGGCGGCCCCCUGGACAAAUACUGACGCUCAGGUGCGAAAGCUUGGGGAGCAAACAGGCUUAAUACCCCGGUAGUC
RNAcentral lists this ribosomal RNA (463 nucleotides) under uncultured Klebsiella sp. RNAcentral's name for it is "bacterial SSU rRNA". It matches the Rfam family "Bacterial small subunit ribosomal RNA", at positions 339 to 795 of the family's 1533-position model. The record is from RNAcentral. Lineage: Bacteria; Pseudomonadati; Pseudomonadota; Gammaproteobacteria; Enterobacterales; Enterobacteriaceae.